This 465-nucleotide ribosomal RNA is filed under the name uncultured bacterium. RNAcentral's name for it is "partial 16S ribosomal RNA". It matches the Rfam family "Bacterial small subunit ribosomal RNA", at positions 28 to 507 of the family's 1533-position model. The record is from RNAcentral.
GAUGAACGCUGGCGGCGUGCUUAACACAUGCAAGUCGAACGAUGAAGCCCAGCUUGCUGGGUGGAUUAGUGGCGAACGGGUGAGUAACACGUGAGUAACCUGCCCUUAACUCUGGGAUAAGCCUGGGAAACUGGGUCUAAUACCGGAUAGGAGCGUCCACCGCAUGGUGGGUGUUGGAAAGAUUUAUCGGUUUUGGAUGGACUCGCGGCCUAUCAGCUUGUUGGUGAGUUAAUGGCUCACCAAGGCGACGACGGGUAGCCGGCCUGAGAGGGUGACCGGCAAAACGGGAAUGAGGAAACGGCCAAGACUCCAAGGGGAGGCAGCGGUGGGGAUAAUGGCACAUUGGCGGAAGGCUUGAUGCGGGGCCGCCGCGUGGGGAAGAACGGCUUCGGGUUGUAAACCUCUUUCAGUAGGGAAGAAGCGAAAGUGACGGUACCUGCAGAAGAAGCACCGGCUAACUACGUG